AAACUAUCGUCUCAUCAACACGUAUAUAUAUCAUUUGUCUUUAAAUAUAAAAGUUAUAGAAGUCAAUCGUUUUAAACAGUUGUUGAAAAGUGCAACUUAAUUUGCACGACCCGAUAAAACUCGAUUGGUAGAAGAGGAAAGUUCUUUUUUACGAUGUUAUGACGUCGAUAAUUGCAUUGCAAAUGAAAGUUACUUUGGAAGAUCCAAGCUCUUUGGUGAAACGACACCUUCUUCAAGGACGACUCCUUGAAACUUUAGAAGAAACAAACUUCAAAGCAAUUUCUUUCACUGGUAUCUUCUCUCUUACGUCACGUGAUCAGUCCAAUGAAUGGCCGCAAGCGACACGAGCAAUGCAAUUAAGGAUCCAUCGAGCCGCGGCCAAUAUUCCUCCUCGAUCAACGCAUACAUAUCAAGUUACUAUGAUUUACAAGGAUCCUUGAGCGUAUCCUUUGAUAUCAUUCGUGAAUUUUUUAUGAUCCUUUUAACGGUUCCAUAAUCAAACAUUGGUCACUUUAUUUGAAUAAAUGAUCCAUCUAUGUGAAUCUAAAUGGCUAGAAACGAGCCUUCUUUUUUUCAUUUCGAAACAAUUCGAUAUCGUGAAACAACUUUGAAAAUAUUUUAAAAACAUAAACGUCAUAGUAGAUAGAUCGAAGGAUUCUAUUUUUUUUUUUUUUUUACUUAUCUAUUAAUUAUUACAGCUAAAUACUUAAAUCGAUUUUCAUUUAGUUACGUACGAUU
Molecule: long non-coding RNA, 738 nt
Organism: Vespa velutina
Lineage: Eukaryota; Metazoa; Arthropoda; Insecta; Hymenoptera; Vespidae
Exons: 3
Source: RefSeq, a predicted model, not a curated record